GACGAACGCUGGCGGCGUGCUUAACACAUGCAAGUCGAACGGAAAGGCCCUGCUUUUGUUGGGUGCUCGAGUGGCGAACGGGUGAGUAACACGUGAGUCUCCUGCCCUUGACUGUGGGAUAACUUCAGGAAUCUGGUGCUACUACCGGCUUGGAGCUCCUGCUGCAUGGGGGGGGUUGGAACGUUUCGGCGGAUGGGGAUGGACUGGCGGCUUAUCAGCUUGUUGGUGGGGUAGCGGCUUACCCAGGCAGUGACGGGUAGCCGGCCUGAGUGGGUGACCAGCGACAUGGGGACUGAGAUACGGCCCAGACGCGUACGGGAGGCAGCAGGGGGGAAUAUUGCACAAUGAGCGGAAGCCUGAUGCAGAAACGCCGCGUGUGGGAUGACGGCCUGCGGGGUGUAAAACGCUUGCGGCUGUGACGAAGGGUGAGUGACGGUAAUGGGUAAAGAAGCACCGGCUAACUACGUG
Molecule: ribosomal RNA, 468 nt
Filed under: uncultured bacterium
Lineage: Bacteria
Description: partial 16S ribosomal RNA
Rfam family: Bacterial small subunit ribosomal RNA
Source: RNAcentral